AAAUUGAAGAGUUUGAUCAUGGCUCAGAUUGAACGCUGGCGGCAGGCCUAACACAUGCAAGUCGAACGGUAACAGGAAGCAGCUUGCUGCUUCGCUGACGAGUGGCGGACGGGUGAGUAAUGUCUGGGAAGCUGCCUGAUGGAGGGGGAUAACUACUGGAAACGGUGGCUAAUACCGCAUAACGUCGCAAGACCAAAGAGGGGGACCUUCGGGCCUCUUGCCAUCAGAUGUGCCCAGAUGGGAUUAGCUAGUUGGUGAGGUAACGGCUCACCAAGGCGACGAUCCCUAGCUGGUCUGAGAGGAUGACCAGCCACACUGGAACUGAGACACGGUCCAGACUCCUACGGGAGGCAGCAGUGGGGAAUAUUGCACAAUGGGCGCAAGCCUGAUGCAGCCAUGCCGCGUGUAUGAAGAAGGCCUUAGGGUUGUAAAGUACUUUCAGCGGGGAGGAAGGUGUUGUGGUUAAUAACCGCAGCAAUUGACGUUACCCGCAGAAGAAGCACCGGCUAACUCCGUGCCAGCAGCCGCGGUAAUACGGAGGGUGCAAGCGUUAAUCGGAAUUACUGGGCGUAAAGCGCACGCAGGCGGUCUGUCAAGUCGGAUGUGAAAUCCCCGGGCUCAAC
This 623-nucleotide ribosomal RNA is filed under the name Salmonella enterica subsp. enterica serovar Thompson. RNAcentral's name for it is "bacterial SSU rRNA". It matches the Rfam family "Bacterial small subunit ribosomal RNA", at positions 1 to 613 of the family's 1533-position model. RNAcentral also lists the same sequence under 1 other name. Lineage: Bacteria; Pseudomonadati; Pseudomonadota; Gammaproteobacteria; Enterobacterales; Enterobacteriaceae. The record is from RNAcentral.